UCGACCAAGGUUCGAGUCUCACGCAGUGAGACAACGCGCUUCAGCGCGGCCCGCAGGGUGAGUCGCACCGCGACGAGUCAUCCUUCCCCCACCACCA
This 97-nucleotide small RNA is filed under the name Serratia marcescens. RNAcentral describes it as "partial RtT sRNA". It matches the Rfam family "RtT RNA", at positions 32 to 130 of the family's 130-position model. Rfam says of the family: This family represents a bacterial cis-regulatory element known as RtT RNA. The exact function of RtT is unknown although it is thought that it may be involved in changing the cellular response in relation to amino acid starvation. The record is from RNAcentral. Lineage: Bacteria; Pseudomonadati; Pseudomonadota; Gammaproteobacteria; Enterobacterales; Yersiniaceae.